GGCAAGCGUUGUCCGGAUUUACUGGGUGUAAAGGGCGUGUAGCCGGGUCGGCAAGUCAGAUGUGAAAUCUGGAGGCUCAACCUCCAAACUGCAUUUGAAACUGUUGAUCUUGAGUAUCGGAGAGGUAAUCGGAAUUCCUUGUGUAGCGGUGAAAUGCGUAGAUAUAAGGAAGAACACCAGUGGCGAAGGCGGAUUACUGGACGACAACUGACGGUGAGGCGCGAAAGCGUGGGGAGCA
RNAcentral lists this ribosomal RNA (238 nucleotides) under uncultured bacterium. Its description in RNAcentral is "partial 16S ribosomal RNA". It matches the Rfam family "Bacterial small subunit ribosomal RNA", at positions 533 to 770 of the family's 1533-position model. The record is from RNAcentral.